Molecule: non-coding RNA, 222 nt
Organism: Paramuricea clavata
Lineage: Eukaryota; Metazoa; Cnidaria; Anthozoa; Malacalcyonacea; Plexauridae
Source: the annotation of a GenBank genome assembly
AUAUUCUAUUAAGAGAUAGUUAAAGAUAAUAAAUUGAUAUUGUUGAGUUAAUUGUUGUUGUUGAAGAACUUUCAAGACUAAGAAGAAGUUAUUCCAAAUACGAGAAAGCCUCCUUGGCCAGCGCGUGUCGCCGUGUCUGGUCAGGGAGGGCAACGAGGUAAACGAUGAAGAUGCAGACACACAUUUUUGUUCGUUCUCGCCCGCGAACGUAACAACAGCAGC